AUUGAACGCUGGCGGCAUGCUUUACACAUGCAAGUCGAACGGUAACAGGCCUUCGGGUGCUGACGAGUGGCGAACGGGUGAGUAAUGCAUCGGAACAUACCCAGUCGUGGGGGAUAACGUAGCGAAAGUUACGCUAAUACCGCAUACGUCCUGAGGGAGAAAGCGGGGGAUCGCAAGACCUCGCGCGAUUGGAGUGGCCGAUGUCAGAUUAGCUAGUUGGUGGGGUAAAGGCCCACCAAGGCGACGAUCUGUAGCGGGUCUGAGAGGAUGAUCCGCCACACUGGGACUGAGACACGGCCCAGACUCCUACGGGAGGCAGCAGUGGGGAAUUUUGGACAAUGGGGGAAACCCUGAUCCAGCCAUGCCGCGUGCGGGAAGAAGGCCUCGGUUGUAACGACUUCAGCCGGAACGAAAUACGCACGGACCGAAUACUCUGUGUGGA
RNAcentral lists this ribosomal RNA (442 nucleotides) under uncultured bacterium. Its description in RNAcentral is "bacterial SSU rRNA". It matches the Rfam family "Bacterial small subunit ribosomal RNA", at positions 30 to 473 of the family's 1533-position model. The record is from RNAcentral.